Molecule: ribosomal RNA, 497 nt
Filed under: uncultured bacterium
Lineage: Bacteria
Description: partial 16S ribosomal RNA
Rfam family: Bacterial small subunit ribosomal RNA
Source: RNAcentral
GAUGAACGCUGGCGGCGUGCCUAAUACAUGCAAGUCGAGCGAACGGACGAGAAGCUUGCUUCUCUGAUGUUAGCGGCGGACGGGUGAGUAACACGUGGAUAACCUACCUAUAAGACUGGGAUAACUUCGGGACACCGGAGCUAAUACCGGAUAAUAUUUUGAACCGCAUGGUUCAAAAGUGAAAGACGGUCUUGCUGUCACUUAUAGAUGGAUCCGCGCUGCAUUAGCUAGUUGGUAAGGUAACGGCUUACCAAGGCAACGAUGCAUAGCCGACCUGAGAGGGUGAUCGGCCACACUGGAACUGAGACACGGUCCAGACUCCUACGGGAGGCAGCAGUAGGGAAUCUUCCGCAAUGGGCGAAAGCCUGACGGAGCAACGCCGCGUGAGUGAUGAAGGUCUUCGGAUCGUAAAACUCUGUUAUUAGGGAAGAACAUAUGUGUAAGCAACUGUGCACAUCUUGACGGUACCUAAUCAGAAAGCCACGGCUAACUACGUG